GUGCUUAAUUUGGCAGCACAUAUACUAAAAUUGGAAUGAUUCAAAGAAGAUUAGCAUGGUUUCUGUGCACAAGGAUGACACACAAAUUUGUGAAGCAUUACAUAUUUUU
Molecule: small nuclear RNA, 109 nt
Filed under: Microcebus murinus (gray mouse lemur)
Lineage: Eukaryota; Metazoa; Chordata; Mammalia; Primates; Cheirogaleidae
Source: RNAcentral